GCCAAUCCCAGCUGACAUCAGGCAAAAGGCGGGGUACACCCUGGACAGGCCGCCAAGGACCCCUCAUGGAAUCCCUUUUGGAUCCACCGUUCCAACAUCACAGAUGGAAGGAGUGAUGCUUCAAAGAUGUGACACAACAAGAAAGCUUUCGAAGUCUCCUGAAUGCUUGUUAUUCAUUAAAGAGGCGAUUUCUGUCAUGUUAAA
This is a long non-coding RNA of Micropterus dolomieu (smallmouth bass), 204 nucleotides long. RefSeq lists it as uncharacterized. Lineage: Eukaryota; Metazoa; Chordata; Actinopteri; Centrarchiformes; Centrarchidae. The record is from RefSeq and is a predicted model, not a curated record. The transcript is spliced from 2 exons.